Molecule: long non-coding RNA, 878 nt
Filed under: Ananas comosus (pineapple)
Lineage: Eukaryota; Viridiplantae; Streptophyta; Magnoliopsida; Poales; Bromeliaceae
Description: long non-coding RNA (ACOM_LNC016097)
Source: RNAcentral
AUAUAUAUAUAGAGAGAGAGAGAGAGAGAGAGAGAGAGAGAGAGAGAGAGAGAGAGAGUUGGACUGGGCUACUAUUAGUAGCAAAAUUUCAUUAUUGCUACCAGUUUUUUAGCUUUUGGAUCAACCAUUUUCAUUAUUUCUAACAAUUGGAUUAAAUACUAUAACCCAGUGGGGACCACUCAACCCUACGGGGACCACUCAACUCUAACCGACUAAUAUCAUCCCGACCCUACAAUUUUUCAUCCAAGGGUUAAAAACUUGAUAGCAAAAAAAGCGUUUUACUAUUAAUAGUAUUUCAGCCUAAUUCUAUAUAUAUAUAUAUAUAUAGAGUCCGACUAUUAUACUCUUAUGAGUAUGAUCGCCCUCGUACUCAUAAGUUGUUUUUAAUGAUAGAGCUUCCGAAACGACGAUCCACACCGUUAAACGUUAUCUAGAGCAUUUAAAACUUCUAGAAAUCAAAUUUUAUAAUUUUUUGACAUCAUUUAUCUUACGAUCAAAAGCUCACAAAAUUGACAAUUUUUAACGGCCGGUAUGGAAUACUUGCUAGUUUAACGAUGGAAAAGAAUCGGAAUAGGUUGAAUUUUUGAUUGAAAAUUCUAUUAACCACCUAGAUAAAGAUCAAUAACUUCGAUCUUAAAUUGAAGGAUUCGAUCAUCCAUUUUUAGGACGUCGUUCGAUUUCGACUGUUCAUUUUAUGCCCGCUUGAUGGACUUUAUUAUGAUUUCGAAAAAAUUACGAAAUUUAUUUUCUAGAAGUUUCAAAUACUCUAGAUCAUAUUUAAUAGAGUGGAUCGUCGAUUUGCAAGUUCCACCAUCGAAAACAACUUAUGAGUACUAAGGGCCCACUACUCAUAAUAGUAUAGUAGCCCUACUCUAUAU